GAUGAACGCUGGCGGCGUGCCUAAUACAUGCAAGUCGAGCGAACAGACGAGGAGCUUGCUCCUCUGACGUUAGCGGCGGACGGGUGAGUAACACGUGGAUAACCUACCUAUAAGACUGGGAUAACUUCGGGAAACCGGAGCUAAUACCGGAUAAUAUAUUGAACCGCAUGGUUCAAUAGUGAAAGACGGUUUUGCUGUCACUUAUAGAUGGAUCCGCGCCGCAUUAGCUAGUUGGUAAGGUAACGGCUUACCAAGGCAACGAUGCGUAGCCGACCUGAGAGGGUGAUAGGCCACACUGGAACUGAGACACGGUCCAGACUCCUACGGGAGGCAGCAGUAGGGAAUCUUACGCAAUGGGCGAAAGCAUGACGGAGCAACGCCGCGUGAGUGAUGAAGGUCUUCGGAUCGUAAAACUCUGUUAUUAGGGAAGAACAAAUGUGUAAGUAACUAUGCACGUCUUGACGGUACCUAAUCAGAAAGCCACGGCUAACUACGUG
Molecule: ribosomal RNA, 497 nt
Filed under: uncultured bacterium
Lineage: Bacteria
Description: partial 16S ribosomal RNA
Rfam family: Bacterial small subunit ribosomal RNA
Source: RNAcentral